Molecule: ribosomal RNA, 492 nt
Filed under: uncultured bacterium
Lineage: Bacteria
Description: partial 16S ribosomal RNA
Rfam family: Bacterial small subunit ribosomal RNA
Source: RNAcentral
AGUGAACGCUGGCGGUAGGCCUAACACAUGCAAGUCGAACGGCAGCACAGUAAGAGCUUGCUCUUACGGGUGGCGAGUGGCGGACGGGUGAGGAAUACAUCGGAAUCUACUUUUUCGUGGGGGAUAACGUAGGGAAACCUACGCUAAUACCGCAUACGACCUACGGGUGAAAGCAGGGGAUCUUCGGACCUUGCGCGAUUGAAUGAGCCGAUGUCGGAUUGGCUAGUUGGCGGGGUAAAGGCCCACCAAGGCGACGAUCCGUAGCUGGACUGAGAGGAUGAUCGGCCACACUGGAGGUGAGACACGGUCCAGAGUCCUACGAGAGGCAGCAGUGGGGAAUAUUAGACAGUGGGCGCAAGCCUGGUCCAGCCAUACCGCGUGGGUGAAGGAGGCGUUCGGGUUGUGAAGCCCUUUUGUUGGGAAAGAAAAGCAUCAGGUUAAUACCCCGCUGUUCUGACGGUACCCAAAGAAUAAGCACCGGCUAACUUCGUG